CUCCGGUUGAUCCUGCCGGACCCGACUGCUAUCAGAGUGGGACUAAGCCAUGCGAGUCGACGUAGCAAUGCGUGGCGAACGGCUCAGUAACACGUAGUCAACAUGCCCAGGGGACGUGGAUAACCUCGGGAAACUGAGGAUAAACCACGAUAGGUCACGAUUUCUGGAAUGGAUCAUGGCCUAAAUCUACAUGGCCCCUGGAUUGGACUGCGGCCGAUCAGGCUGUUGGUGAGGUAAUGGCCCACCAAACCUAUAACCGGUACGGGCUCUGAGAGGAGAAGCCCGGAGAUGGGCACUGAGACAAGGGCCCAGGCCCUAUGGGGCGCAGCAGGCGCGAAACCUCUGCAAUAGGCGAAAGCCUGACAGGGUUACUCUGAGUGAUUUCCGCUAAGGGGAUCUUUUGGCACCUCUAAAAAUGGUGCAGAAUAAGGGGUGGGCAAGUCUGGUGUCAGCCGCCGCGGUAAUACCAGCACCCCGAGUGGUCGGGACGAUUAUUGGGCCUAAAGCAUCCGUAGCCGGUUCUGCAAGUCUUCCGUUAAAUCCAGCCGCUCAACGGAUGGGCCGCGGAGGAUACUACAGGACUAGGAGGCGGGAGAGGCAAGCGGUACUCAGUGGGUAGGGGUAAAAUCCUUUGAUCCAUUGAAGACCACCAGUGGCGAAGGCGGCUUGCCAGAACGCGCUCGACGGUGAGGGAUGAAAGCUGGGGGAGCAAACCGGAUUAGAUACCCGGGUAGUCCCAGCUGUAAACGAUGCAGACUCGGUGAUGGGCUAGCCUUGUGCCAGCCCAGUGCCGCAGGGAAGCCGUUAAGUCUGCCGCCUGGGGAGUACGGUCGCAAGACUGAAACUUAAAGGAUUGGCGGGGGAGCA
RNAcentral lists this ribosomal RNA (867 nucleotides) under uncultured archaeon. RNAcentral describes it as "bacterial SSU rRNA". It matches the Rfam family "Archaeal small subunit ribosomal RNA", at positions 1 to 878 of the family's 1478-position model. The record is from RNAcentral.